UAGUGGAGUGAUUUGUCUGGUUAAUUCCGAUAACUAACGAGACCUUAACCUGCUAAGUAGCGGUUUUACAACUUGUUGUAAAUCAUACUUCUUAGAGGGACUUUGUAUGUUUAAUACAAGGAAGUUUGAGGCAAUAACA
This 139-nucleotide ribosomal RNA is filed under the name uncultured eukaryote. RNAcentral's name for it is "partial 18S ribosomal RNA". It matches the Rfam family "Eukaryotic small subunit ribosomal RNA", at positions 1299 to 1458 of the family's 1831-position model. The record is from RNAcentral.